Non-coding RNA from Taeniopygia guttata (zebra finch), 1209 nucleotides. The record is from RefSeq and is a predicted model, not a curated record. NCBI's taxonomy places the organism in Eukaryota, Metazoa, Chordata, Aves, Passeriformes, Estrildidae.
UGGUCAUCAAAUGAGCCAGUCUGAACAGCACUGAAGUGACACUGCUGGUCAACUAUGAAAAUGCAGUGAGUGAGAGAAGAGCAACGGGAUGUGAAAAACUGAACUUCACUCACGGUACAGCUGAGGUUUUUCAGCUGAUUGGGAUGUUAAACCAAGUUACUUCCUCAGUCAAAAUGAGGACACACCCAUGCUGACAGCAAAACAAACUUGUUUUGAUUACUGCUCUGCUCCUUUCACUUUUCAGACACUCCAGCCUGCCUCCAUUGUCCCAGUUAGGGUUGUGUCCUUGCCUGGAGAGACAGGACUUUUUUUUGGCAGUUGUUUCUACUAUCUGUCUGUCUUCACCAGGAGCAAAGAUGCUAUCAGUGAACUGCAAUAAGGUCUCUACAACAGUUCCCUCACAUUAUAUAAGGUGGCAGUGUACAGGGCUCUUCUCAGUUUUCUUUUUUUAAUUGGCAGAGUUAUUACCUAUAUGAAGCCAACUUUUUUUUUUUAAAGCUUGCUAGUGAAAGGCACAGGAACAAACACCAGAUGAUGCCCUAUGAUGACCUUUCUAGUUUCUAUUGUAGAGCUACGUCCUGAAAAUAUUUCUCUGGCAAAUAUAUUUUUCUCUCUUCAGAUAAUUUGGAAGCAGAUUGUGGCCAAGCUCACACACAAUGUUGGAGAAGAUCUUUUUCAAGCAGCUUUUCCUCCUUUGUGUCCUUGAGCACAGCCUGAAGAAUCUCCCACCUUAAAACAGCAUUCUGUCUGAAGUGUGAAGACCCUCCAGAUAGAUUCCAUCCACUCUGACUUUCAGAAGCUGGCAAAGCUUGGCAAAACUUCUACUGUCAUCUUCUAGAACGUGGAAGAUUGAUUAUCUGCUUUAUGUUCAGUUUGUGUUUUGGCAUUGAAGAAAAAUGAAGAGGCAGCUUGGUUUAUUUAAACAAAAUAUAUCAGGUCAGCCAUGAGCAAUAGAAGUAUUCCAGUAAAGCAAAGGGAAGAAGAUUACAUGCUGGCUUCCUUCUCCAGGCUUGUAGGGGGAAGAAAUCUAAGGUUUUAAUUUCCAGACCUGCUUACAGGAUGCUUAUAAUUUUUACAAACCGCAAGUUUUGACUCAGAAAAAAAGAUGAACAUUAAAGCAAAGUUGAAGAAUGUAAUCAAAAUGGGAUUUAUGUCCUGAGAUGUCUUUAAACGUCCUUGUAGUAUUUAAAUAAAGUUGAAAUUAUCUUA